ACUCAAAGGAAUUGACGGGGACCCGCACAAGCGGUGGAUGAUGUGGUUUAAUUCGAUGCUACGCGAAGAACCUUACCCAGGCUUGACAUCCUGCGAAUCUGUUGGAAACAACGGAGUGCCUUCGGGAGCGCAGUGACAGGUGUUGCAUGGCCGUCGUCAGCUCGUGUCGUGAGAUGUUUGGUUAAGUCCAUUAACGAGCGCAACCCUUAUCGUCUGUUACAAUUUCAGGCGAGACUGCCCCGGCCAACGGGGAGGAAGGUGGGGAUGAGGUCAGGUCAGCAUGGCCCUUACGCCUGGGGCUACACACGUCAUACAAUGGCCGGUACAACGCGUUUGCCAACCCGCGAGGGGGAGCUAAUCGUAUCAAAACCGGUCCCAGUUCGGAUUGGAGGCUGCAACUCGCCUCCAUGAAGUUGGAAUCGCUAGUAAACGUGGGUCAGCAUACCACGUUGAAUACGUUCCCGGGUCUUGUACACACCGCCCGU
This 485-nucleotide ribosomal RNA is filed under the name uncultured bacterium. RNAcentral describes it as "partial 16S ribosomal RNA". It matches the Rfam family "Bacterial small subunit ribosomal RNA", at positions 899 to 1397 of the family's 1533-position model. The record is from RNAcentral.